AUUGUGUAGCGUAUGCAGUGCAUGCAAAGGGCAGAUGGAGCAUAGCGUCUGAUCCUUCUUGGAGUUUAAGAGGCUCUGUAAUGCAGGUUAAGUAAACUAAAUCACCCGGGUACAGGGAGGAAUGGGGAGAAGGUAAACUGUCUGCUACACAAGCACAGGGGUCCAUGUUCGAUCCCCAGCACCCGUGUAAGCCAAAUGAGCACCCCUCCACCCACUUACCCCCUUAUACUGCACACAUAAGAGAAAGCAUCUACCAUUCAAGAACCCCAACAGAACAGACAGCAAAGGAACGGUUAAGAGAAAGUCGUGGAGCACAAGGCACAACUUUGAGGCAUAGUUGCCUCUGUGGAGGAAAAGCACAGCCUGCACUGGGUUUUUGUUUGUUUGUUUUUUGUUCGUUUCUUUUUUCUUUUGGACAUAGGGCUUGGCUUUAUAGCUCUGGAUGACCUGGAACUCGCUAUGUGGCCCAGGCUAGCCUGAACUUACGAUCCUGCAUGAGCCUCCCAAGUGCUGGGAUUACAGGCACGCGUCACCACCGCCUGGUUUGUUAUUUCCCACGUGGGCGGGAACGCCUUGCUUUAGAACAGCCUCUGGAACCAAAUGACAGUUUUGCCACUGAGCACUUAACUGGAUCAUCACUGUGCUGUGAUGUCCCACCCUGGAGAGACGUGGCGGGGUGCAGUGGAGGAGGACUGGAUGGUGUAUACUACGAGGCUAUCCAGCUCUACCUAGAGAGCAGUGGAGCCUGAGAGAGCUGCUCUUACAAGGGUGCGGUUGGUUAUUUGAGGGCAUAAAAGUGUGGGUGAGGUUGAGGUGACAGCGGAGACCUUUUUCAUUCAAGGUUUUGUAAGGCGGCAAUCUCCUGGGGAUUUCAUUCACAUCCAGGCUUUGGUCUCGCUUUGGUAGAUGCCUGGGUACCACUCAAACUCAGAAACAAACGCCAACGAAUGAAGGCCAGCAAACUUCAUAAGAGUCCAACGAUCAGCGGCGGACUUCAUGGACAGACGACAGCACUCAGAUACAUGGCCACUCAUGUCCUCUGACCAGAGCAUCAGCUCUUUGUGGCCAUGCCAAAUGAGUUAAAUUAUGAUUAGAAGGGACUUUCAUGUAUCAGCCAGAGUUCCAUACUGGAAACAGACCCUGGGUAUUUUUUAAAAGAAAGAGAUUUAUUUAUUGCAAGAAAGGAGGUGUUCCAAAAUGGCUGGAAGGUUGGUGCACAGGCUUCCUGCUGGUCUGACAGAAGUAAGUAUCAGUGGGUGUGCCCUACCACGAGAGACACAACCUCUGACACAAUUUCAGCAGUUGAUGCUAAGGUCACUUGAGGUCCAGUGUCUGCGCCUCGAGCCAUGCACCCAGACGCUGAAAUCCAGACAGAGGCUGCUCCUGACUCUUCCCUCCGCUGCCCAGCACAGGGACAGCUCCAGCAUAGCUCUCAGCUACAAGGUCUACCUGCGCGACUGGGGAAGCCUGUUUCUUUCCUAGGAUUUAAGCACUCUGUCCUCAAGAGAGUGGGACAUACAGAGCUGAAAGACUUUCUCCCUGGCCUCUGCAGUUCAAAAACACCCAGUAGAGGGAGGUGGGCAUGAAUCGCAGAAGGCAAGCAUUUUUGUCCUACGGCCGAUCUUUAAGUGAUGUGCUUUACCAACGAGUCCUUCAACAUUUGCAUCCUGUUAGCUGCUGUGAGUAACCAAGAGAGGCUGUAAAGUACAUGGAGAGAUCUGCAUAUGCUGAAUGAGAAACUGAAAGACGCUCGUAUAACCAUGGGAAUCGAAGUCCGUCGGGGAAAACCUAGAACCGUGCCCUGGUUGGUACAGAGGACAACUGUAGGUUAUACUUUAAGGAGCACACACUGUGGUUUGUUAGUUUCCGUUUUUUGUUGUUGCCAUGACAAAAUACUUGACGGAAACAAAGGAAGAGGGGCCUGAUGAUUGCAAAAGGGGCCCGCCCAUGGCUACUUCGAUCCUUGUGCUUGGGCAGAACAUCAUGGCGGAAGACGGUGGUGGGGGGGAGUCUGCUCACCACAUCGCCACAUGGCCAACCUAAAAGAAAAGAGAAAUGGUGGCGGUAGGCUUGCUGUGCAUUUCAACCUUUUAAUUUCACUGAGCCCCUAGGCCACGGGGUGAUGUCCCGCACAUCCAGGGUGAGUCUUCCUUGCUCAUUCCGUUAAUCCUUUCUACGAACAUCCUCACAAGAGGCACGCCUCACCUCAAGCACCGAUUUUGAUGACUCUAUACCCAGUCAAGUUGACAAUGAAGGUGAACUGUGACAGUUCCCAUCAGAAACAUUCUACCACCAGUGCAGUUCAAAAAACGUCUAUAGAAGAACCUACACGAAGGGGCGUGGCAGCAUGCCAAUAAAACUUUAUUUACAAAA
Molecule: non-coding RNA, 2373 nt
Organism: Rattus norvegicus (Norway rat)
Lineage: Eukaryota; Metazoa; Chordata; Mammalia; Rodentia; Muridae
Source: RefSeq, a predicted model, not a curated record